GUGAGGAAUUUUCCGCAAUGGGCGAAAGCCUGACGGAGCAAUGCCGCGUGAAGGAUGAAGGCCUAUGGGUUGUAAACUUCUUUUCUCAGAAAAGAAUUAUGACGGUAUCUGAGGAAUAAGCAUCGGCUAACUCUGUGCCAGCAGCCGCGGUAAGACAGAGGAUGCAAGCGUUAUCCGGAAUGAUUGGGCGUAAAGCGUCUGUAGGUUGUUUAAAAAGUAUUCUGUCAAAGAUUAGGGCUUAACCCUAGAUAGGCAGAAUAAACUUUUAAGCUAGAGUUAGGUAGAGGCAGAGGGAAUUCUCGGUGGAGCGGUGAAAUGCGUAGAUAUCGGGAGGAACACCAAAGGCGAAGGCACUCUGCUGGGCCAAUACUAACACUGAGAGACGAAAGCGAGGGGAGCAAAUGGGAUUAGAUACCCCGGUAGUCC
This 426-nucleotide ribosomal RNA is filed under the name uncultured bacterium. Its description in RNAcentral is "partial 16S ribosomal RNA". It matches the Rfam family "Bacterial small subunit ribosomal RNA", at positions 354 to 796 of the family's 1533-position model. The record is from RNAcentral.